AUUGAACGCUGGCGGCAGGCCUAACACAUGCAAGUCGAGCGAGCGGCGGACGGGUGAGUAAUGUCUGGGGACUGCCCGAUAGAGGGGGAUAACUACUGGAAACGGUAGCUAAUACCGCAUACUAUCGGAUAACCCAUAUGGGAUUAGCUAGUAGGUGGGGUAACGGCUCACCUAGGCGACGAUCCCUAGCUGGUCUGAGAGUAGUAUCAGCCACACUGGAACGGAGACACGGCCCAGACGCCUACGGAGGCAGCAGUGGGGAAUAUUGCACAAUGGGCGCAAGCCUGAUGCAGCCAUGCCGCGUGUAUGAAGAAGGCCUUAGGGUUGUAAAGUACUUUCAGUCGGGAGGCGUUACCGACAGAAGAAGCACCGGCUAACUCCGUGCCAGCAGCCGCGGUAAUAC
Molecule: ribosomal RNA, 403 nt
Filed under: uncultured bacterium
Lineage: Bacteria
Description: partial 16S ribosomal RNA
Rfam family: Bacterial small subunit ribosomal RNA
Source: RNAcentral